UAGGGAAUCUUCGGCAAUGGGGGGAACCCUGACCGAGCAACGCCGCGUGAGUGAAGAAGGUUUUCGGAUCGUAAAGCUCUGUUGUUAAGGAAGAACGAGUGUGAGAAUGGAAAGUUCAUGCUGUGACGGUACUUAACCAGAAAGGGACGGCUAACUACGUGCCAGCAGCCGCGGUAAUACGUAGGUCCCGAGCGUUGUCCGGAUUUAUUGGGCGUAAAGCGAGCGCAGGCGGUUAGAAAAGUCUGAAGUGAAAGGCAGUGGCUCAACCAUUGUAGGCUUUGGAAACUGUUUAACUUGAGUGCAGAAGGGGAGAGGGGAAUUCCAUGUGUAGCGGUGAAAUGCGUAGAUAUAUGGAGGAACACCGGUGGCGAAAGCGGCUCUCUGGUCUGUAACUGACGCUAAGGCUCGAAAGCGUGGGGAGCGAACAGG
RNAcentral lists this ribosomal RNA (429 nucleotides) under Verrucomicrobiota bacterium. RNAcentral describes it as "Verrucomicrobia bacterium partial 16S ribosomal RNA". It matches the Rfam family "Bacterial small subunit ribosomal RNA", at positions 355 to 776 of the family's 1533-position model. Lineage: Bacteria; Pseudomonadati; Verrucomicrobiota. The record is from RNAcentral.